UUUUCAUUAUUUUCCCAAUCCAGGUUUUGCUUUUUUAGUUUAAAUUCAAGCAAUUAAUGUGUAGUGUAUUAUCAGUUCGAGAGGUAGAGGUCAGUGACUCAUCAGUCUUAUAUCACACCCAGUGCUCAUUACAUCACAUGCCCUCUUUAGUGCCCAUCACCCAGUUACCCCAUCCUGCCACCCCACUCCCCUCCAGCGACCCUCAGUGUGUUUCCUAUGGUUAAGAAUCUCUUAUAGUUUGUCUUGUUACCUGAUUUCAUCUUGUUUUAUUUUUUCCUUCCUGGAAGCUAGUUUUAAAGAGAAGGGAGAUACUGCAAAACUUGCCAGGAAGCCUGCAGGGCAGAGACCAUUUCUUUUUCAUUUUGAGGCCCCCGUUAAUAACUUCCUCAUAUUUCUAUCCCAUGAGAUGUUAUGCCCAUAUAAAUAAACAGCAAUUUGUAUUAUUUUUAUCCUUUGUUACACAAGCGGCACUAUACUGUUUUGCACCCUUUUCUUAUCAUAAUACCUAUGAAAUCAUCCCAGACCAGUAUAUGAAAGCACCCUGGUUCUUUUUUAUGACUGCAUACUAUUCCAUCAUAUGGCUGCACUAUAACUGAUUAACCCCUGCUCCUGCUGAUGGGUAUUUAUGUUGUUUCUAACCUCCUGCUUGUACAAACAGCCCUGCAACGAACAGUCUUGCAAAUAUGCCCUUUCCUGUAGGUGCCUGGAUCUGCAGGAUAGAAGGAGAACUCUUGGGUCAAAGGAUGUGUGCAUUGAAAUUUCACAGCUACUGUUGAAUUGCCCUCCUUAGAGCUGAACCAAUUUACACAUACACUCCCUCCUCCAGCCACAUAUAGGAAUGAGCUCAUUUUGGCAGGGACGCCAAGGCUUACAUUUCCUCCCUGUCCCCAUGGUGCUCAUUCCAGGGGUAGACUCAGAAAGCUUUUGGGGAUCAUCAUUGCUCACAAUCACCUAGACUCUUGGGCGGGGGGCGGAGCUGGACGGGAGAGGAGGAUGAAGCCAGUAGCCAGCAAAGGGAGGGCUCAAGUUCAAAGGAUUUAAAAGAAUAGUGGCUUUGUGCAUCUUGAAGAGCCAAACUGCCCCUCCUACACAGACAUCCCACUGUGCUGAGAGACAACAGGUUUCCCCAUGAGGAAAGCAUAUUAACACCAUCUAAAGGAGGGACUCCCAGCAUGUGCUCCAAGAGGAGAUUAUAAGUGUAUUUGGGUUUCUAAAGUCCCAGCUGCACCCGUGUUAAGAAAGAACUGUUUUCUUGCUGUUAAUCCAUUCCUGGUGGAAAUGUUGCUUCAAAUUGAAUGACCCUUUUAUGCGCUGAAGUCAAAUGAUAUCUCAAAGAUAAAUCACUUAUUCCAGAAAACAUGAAACUUCAAUCACAGCGAUUGAUUAAGAUUUCACAGCAGCAGUUGCUGGACCAGGAAAGCCCCAAAAGUCCCCAUUCCCGUGGGCAGCCUUGGUCCUACCAGUAGAGCGAGCUCAGGCUCUAGCACAGGACCUGGAAUCCUACCCACUGGGAGAUUUCUCUCUGGUGAAGCACAGAGGAGGUGAGAGGGGAGAGAGCAGAGAUCGAAGUCCCCACAGGUGAGCCUGAGGGGCCCUGCCUGGCCAGAGGGGCAAGAACUAGAGGUGCCAUGCCCUCCACUCAGCCCCUCUUCCUCACCUCUAUCCAACCUCUACUAGGCCUUCUAGCUUUAGCUCAAGGGUCCCCUCUUCCAGGAGAUCACAGACCAGGAUUCAGCAGGCACCCCAAAGCAUGUUCCUAGAGCAUUUCUGACCUGAAGCGUAACCUUGUCUGUCUACCUGGCUUGGCAUCCAUGGGCGGUGAGCGCUCUGAGGUUUGGUCCCUACUAAGUGUUCAACACACGUUUGAUGAGUGAAUGAAACGGAGUCCCAGAAAUAGUCACAAUAGCUUCCUGCCUUGAUGAUGUCACCUAUUCAGGUGUUCAUGGUCCUAGUGGGGGCCGGUCAUUGUAAGUAGGCCUGCUCCUCAUAUUAGGCAAUCGGGUUGCAAUCGGGUUGCAACAGGGUUUCUUGAAUUGAAAUGCCACCCUGGCCCCAAAGGCCCAUGGUUUGAGGCACUCUUCUUAGUGGAAGUCUCACCUUGAGGAAAUGCCCACGCCUAAGAGGAGUCACACUGUCACGGAGCGGUCUUCUUUAGCUCCUCGGCCAGCCAGCAGUGGGGCAGUGAGUGGAACAGGUAGAUCCAGGACCCUGCUGUACGUUAUGUAAGAGGCAAGGUGAGGAACUUUUCUGAAAUCCUAUAAGCAGUAUGGAAUUAGAAACGGUUACAAUGAUAAGCCUUUGCUUGUGCCCAUGUCUUGCAGUCUACAGAGAGCUUCCUAUCUAGUACCCCCUGAUCUUCAAAGCAACCCUGAGACAAGUAAGGACAGUCCUACCCAAUUCACACACAGAAAACAGAGGUGCAGAUAGCUCAAGCCCUGAAUCACCCAGAUGACAGGGGCUGAGCUGACAGCUGUGUCCAGGUCUUCCCACUCCAAGUAGAGUGUUCUGUUUACCACAGCAAGAUGCUCCAGCAUUGCCUAAAACCACAGCUUCAAGCUGUGCAGAAAACCCUCUUCCUUCUUCAAUCUUUCCCUUUCCCCAGAUUUGUUGAUUGAUGAAUGAGCUUCCCCUGGCUCUUUAUACCAGCAGUGUUGGGGGGCCUAGCUGCAGCCUGGGCUCAGCCUCUGACCCACUCUGGGGUGGUAGGAGAGUCCCUGUCCCCCAGUUUCCUCCAAUUCUUCGUAUCUUUGAUGUUAAAA
This 2759-nucleotide long non-coding RNA is filed under the name Canis lupus familiaris (dog). Its description in RNAcentral is "lncRNA (ENSCAFG00805010570.1, ENSCAFG00845017583.1)". The record is from RNAcentral. Lineage: Eukaryota; Metazoa; Chordata; Mammalia; Carnivora; Canidae.